UGUAUGUUUGAUGUUCUAACUUAGACCCGUUAUCCGGGUUGAGGACAGUGCCUGGUGGGUAGUUUGACUGGGGCGGUCUCCUCCCAAAGAGUAACGGAGGAGCACGAAGGUGGGCUAAUCACGGUUGGACAUCGUGAGGUUAGUGCAAUGGCAUAAGCCCGCUUAACUGCGAGAAUGACGGUUCGAGCAGGUGCGAAAGCAGGUCAUAGUGAUCCGGUGGUUCUGUAUGGAAGGGCCAUCGCUCAACGGAUAAAAGGUACUCCGGGGAUAACAGGCUGAUACCGCCCAAGAGUUCAUAUCGACGGCGGUGUUUGGCACCUCGAUGUCGGCUCAUCACAUCCUGGGGCUGAAGUCGGUCCCAAGGGUAUGGCUGUUCGCCAUUUAAAGUGGUACGCGAGCUGGGUUUAGAACGUCGUGAGACAGUUCGGUCCCUAUCUGCCGUGGGCGUUGGAAGAUUGAAGGGGGCUGCUCCUAGUACGAGAGGACCGGAGUGGACGAACCUCUGGUGUUCGGGUUGUGUCGCCAGACGCAUUGCCCGGUAGCUAAGUUCGGAAUUGAUAAGCGCUGAAAGCAUCUAAGCGCGAAGCGAGCCCUGAGAUGAGUCUUCCCUGACAGUUUAACUGUCCUAAAGGGUUGUUCGAGACUAGAACGUUGAUAGGCAGGGUGUGUAAGCGUUGUGAGGCGUUGAGCUAACCUGUACUAAUUGCCCGUGAGGCUUAACCAU
This 724-nucleotide ribosomal RNA is filed under the name Vibrio cholerae RC27. RNAcentral's name for it is "bacterial LSU rRNA". It matches the Rfam family "Bacterial large subunit ribosomal RNA", at positions 2207 to 2925 of the family's 2925-position model. The record is from RNAcentral. Lineage: Bacteria; Pseudomonadati; Pseudomonadota; Gammaproteobacteria; Vibrionales; Vibrionaceae.